Molecule: ribosomal RNA, 301 nt
Filed under: uncultured bacterium
Lineage: Bacteria
Description: partial 16S ribosomal RNA
Rfam family: Bacterial small subunit ribosomal RNA
Source: RNAcentral
CAGCAGCCGCGGGAAUACGGAGGGAGCUAGCGUUGUUCGGAAUUACUGGGCGUAAAGCGCGCGUAGGCGGUUACUCAAGUCAGAGGUGAAAGCCCGGGGCUCAACCCCGGAACUGCCUUUGAAACUAGGUGACUAGAAUCUUGGAGAGGUCAGUGGAAUUCCGAGUGUAGAGGUGAAAUUCGUAGAUAUUCGGAAGAACACCAGUGGCGAAGGCGACUGACUGGACAAGUAUUGACGCUGAGGUGCGAAAGCGUGGGGAGCAAACAGGAUUAGAGACCCCAGUAGUCCCUGUCUCUUAUAC